This 377-nucleotide ribosomal RNA is filed under the name uncultured bacterium. RNAcentral's name for it is "bacterial SSU rRNA". It matches the Rfam family "Bacterial small subunit ribosomal RNA", at positions 521 to 896 of the family's 1533-position model. The record is from RNAcentral.
UAAUACGUAGGUGGCAAGCGUUGUCCGGAUUUACUGGGCGUAAAGCGCGCGCAGGCGGGCUGGUCAGUCUGGGGUGAAAUCUCACGGCUCAACCGUGAGAGGUCCCUGGAUACUGCUAGCCUUGAGGGGCUCAGAGGAGAGUGGAAUUCCGGGUGUAGUGGUGGAAUGCGUAGAUAUCCGGAGGAACACCAGUGGCGAAAGCGGCUCUCUGGGGGCAACCUGACGCUGAGGCGCGAAAGCGUGGGGAGCGAACCGGAUUAGAUACCCGGGUAGUCCACGCCGUAAACGAUGAGUACUAGUUGUCGGGGGUAUCGACCCCCUCGGUAACGAAGCUAACGCGAUAAGUACUCCGCCUGGGGACUACGACCGCAAGGUUA